Manihot esculenta (cassava) is the source of this 3231-nucleotide long non-coding RNA. RefSeq lists it as uncharacterized. The record is from RefSeq and is a predicted model, not a curated record. NCBI's taxonomy places the organism in Eukaryota, Viridiplantae, Streptophyta, Magnoliopsida, Malpighiales, Euphorbiaceae. The transcript has 2 exons.
GUAUUGUGCCUCUUGUUUAUCAUCGAGUAAUACAUGAAUUAAUUCAUUUUUAUAAAAUCAUUUUUGCCAUUUUUCCUAUUCUCUUGUCUUCUCACCACCAUAAACGAUCAAAAUCAGUCCCUUCUCCUUACCAUCUCAUCUCUCUGUGGAGACCCAUCGAGUCGUCAUCAGCUGAAGCAGCAUCCUCCUCUGAAUCAGAUCCAGUUUCUUCCCUCUCUUUCUCGAUUCUCACCGUGAAAACAACACACCCAUCUCCGUCGAUUCCAACACCUAAAAAACCAGUUCACCAACCCCUUUGUGCAUCUAGCCCCGAUAGUCCGUCCCACCAAAAUCCCAAACUCGAAAGCUUCCCUAUUUUCUUCUUCCAUUCACGCGACCUCCACCUGAUCUUGAACCAGAACUCACACAUCCUUCUACUACCCUGACAUAGAGUCAUUCGGGCGCUCCUUUAACAGCUACCCUUCUUCGGGGCUCCACCUCACAGCUCCAAAGGAUACUAACUCUCCUCAUUCGCUAGGACAAAGUCAAGGACUUGGGUAUUCACAGAACUUCCUAUUAAUCGUUUAUUUUUCGUUCUGUUUUCUUUUUGACUCUGAAUGUUCUUGAUUUCGAGAUUAUUUAGUGAUAAAACUUUCUGUGAUCAUGAUUAAUGGCCAAAGUCUGGUUUACCAAUGUUGAGGUUGUGAAACUCUGUGAAGUGGAAUGGAAGGAAUGACAUUUCAUGAAUGGAGAUAGGCUCAGUCAACUUGCUUUGAAUGGGUGUGUGUUGCUGGGGUUCAUUUCACUAAGUGAUUUACGUUAUCUCUUCCUCUGUGAUAUAGAUUUGCUAUGAUUAGCAUCAUGGUGAGCUUUCAGAUUACUGAUUAUUAGUGUUGAUGUUUUGCUGGGUCUGUUUUGAUUAAAUGAUGUGGGUUUUGAGUCUUUCACCCCCUUUCCCUUGUGGUAUUGAUCUUAAGAUAUUUAGGAGCAGGAAUAACAUGUGGAGUUGUUGUUCGUUCCUUUUGAAUAUCCUGUCAUGGAUGUUGCUAUUGAAUAUCCUGUUAUGGGUAUUGUAGAGCGUGUGUUUAUAAGUAUCUUAGAUGUUUUUUAGUCGACUUUUAUUAUGAUAUGGGCUUUAGGUUUCCAAGGAGAAUAUGUUGAGAGUUUGUUCUUCAAGUCUUGGUUGAAAAUAACAAGACAUGGCAGCAAGAUGAACUUCAUUGGUGACAAUUAUCUCGUAUUCAGUGAUUGCAAGCUAGCAAUCAUAACUCCAAAUUCUUUCAUUUAUCUAACAUCUAAAGACGUCAGAGAAAUUUCAUUAUUCGGCUCCAAAAUGAAGCUGGAAUCUAGGUUGAAAGUCAAGAUACUAUUCAUCGGGAUAUCAGAAAUUUUUUUCAACAGUUGUAUAGGUCUACUUCAUUAGCAUAUCCUUCUUCUGUUGUUUUAUUUUUGAUUUUGCGACUUGUUACUAUUGAUAUAAAUGACCGGUUUUUUGUGCCAAUUACAAAUGAUGAAGUGCGAUGUGCGGUCUUUGAUAUGGACAGAGAUAAGGCUCCGAGUUGGUCUAAAUGACAGGCUCUGCAAUGGAUAGAAGAUUAUCUUAUGGAAAAGACGCAAUCUUGGAGAUACAAGCUUCUUUCCCAUGCUAGUAGGGAGACCCAUCUCCAAUCGUUUUUACAAGCAAUCCCUACUUAUUCUAUGUCUAUUUUUCAAUACCCAAAGACUUUUUGUGCUCGGCCAUACUCAUCAAAGGAAAAUUAGCUAGACUAGUUGGGUUGGCUUGUGUAAUUCAAAGUUUCAUGGUAGUCUUAAUUUUAAAGACUUUCAAAAGUUUAAUAUUGCUUGUUUGGCCAAAUAGAGCUAGCGUCUUGUGACCGAUGCUUCUAGCCUUUGGGGACAAGUCAUUAAAGUGUUGUAUUUUUCCCGCUCAUCUUUUUUCGAGGCCACUCAACGCUCUCGUAGUUCUUGGAUUUGGCAAGCCUUAUUAGCCAAUUAUGCCAUUUUGACUAAAAUGGUCUGUUUUAACAUUGGAGAAGGUCGUAACACUUUUCUAUGGGAUGAACCAUGGGUUCCAAGUGUGGUUAGUUUUUGGUUAUCUCGGCCUAGCAACUGCCCUCUUAUGUUUUUGACCGAACUGCUUCAUAGUGGAAUUGUUCUCUUAUUUCUCGGCUCAUUUCACCAGCUCAGGUAAAAGCCAUCCUUGUUGUCCAAAUUGCGUUUGUACAUACUCUUGACUCACUUGUUUGGCAUUUUGAGCAUCAUGGCAACUAUUCUGUUCGGUCUGGUUACCGUCUUUUGGUGCAAGGCUCCUUAUCUAUUAGUUCUUCUUCAGUUUCCUCUAUUCAACGAUCUCUUUCCCCUUCCAUGUGGAAAUGUACUUGGUCGCUGUCCAUCAUUCCCAAGGUCAAAUUCUUUCUUUAACUUGAUAAUGCUGUUCCUGUUUUGAGAAAUUUGGUACAUAGGGGAAUGGCUUUGUUCUCACAUUGUGUUGUGUAUCACUGUGGACCAGAGAUACUCGAACAUGCUUUGUUCUGGUGCCCACAUGCUUUAGUUACGUGGUUUCUCAAUCCUUGUGGCUAGAAGCCAUCUACAGUUGGUUUUCCAGGGUUUUCUUCUUGGUGGGAGCAGUUAUGACAACAUUUUGAUAGUGAGUCAGAUUGUACAUACCUUAUGUUGUUAAUACCUCUCACGGCACAUUUGGAAAUCUGGAAGUAUGGGUAUCUUUGAUCACUCUUCACCAGAUCCUACUUAUACAGUGAGGCCGAUGCUGCUAUUGCUGUUACAAUUCGCAAUGACUCUGGACAGCUGGUUGAUGAUUUGGUUAGGUAGCUUUGGUGUUACUCACCUGCGGCCUGUGAGGCAAUGACACUUCUAGAAGCUCUUCCUUUGGCAAUGAGUCAAGGUUACUACCAUGUCAUAUGUGAAGUUGAUUAUGCUAUUUUGAUUUCUGCUCUGUCUUAGCUACCUACCUAUGUCUCUUGAGAUAUUAGAGUUUCGGUUUGUGCUAUUUUUAAUAUUGCGCACUUUUAAUCUAUUUCAUUCGGUCACAUUUUUAUUCGACUAAUGUUAUGGUAGAUAGGUUAGUGUAAUAAAGUUUUCAGUAGCAAAUGUCUUUUUUAUGUAUUGUCCAAAGUCGUAUCUAGUUGUGUUUGAGUUGCGGCCCUGUAAUAUAUUUUUGCAGGUAAAAAAAAAAACACACUAAAGCUAGGCUUAUAGUAUUUGAUUUAAUGGAACUUUCAUUUUUCUGUUUAA